CUUUAUUUUACUUUGAUAGUAAUACAGUUGGUAGUCGUUGUUUAUGCGACGAUGUUGAAAUAUUCCGUUUGAAUUUGAAUAGGUUCUAAAUAAUUGUAAUACAAUAAAAAUGUCUCCUUCCAGAUCUAGAAGAAACAGUUCAAGACGUUCUUCCAUUCUUAAGCCUUCUAAGCCACGUCAAGCUCUACAAAAUUUAAACAUCAAUAGUUCAUCCAGUGAAAACAGUCCAGCUACUACAUCAAAAUUUAAACGACGAGUUAGUUUUGCAGAAAAAAAGCAUGUUAAAGAAUUUUGUAACUCCGUGGAGCAAGGAACCGUAUGGGAUACUACAUACGAAGAACAUGAUUUAAGUAAUUUAAAAAUUCCAGGUACUUUUAAUCAAGAAGAACAUAAUGUUCACAUUGCUCAUAAAGAAAAUAUUGUUGUCUGCAAUGAAGAAAAUAACAUGCAAGUUACAUAUAAGGAAAUGAUUGAAGAAGAUUUAAGUACAAAAGAUAGCGAUUUACGUUGUAUAAAUAUAACUGAUGGCAUAAAAAGUAAUGAUCCGUUAUUAAGUCAAAUCAAGAUUAAUUUACAGUUGGAAAAUGAUAAUGACAUUUUUAAAACUACCAUUUCAUGUAGAAAUUCUAAAGAAAACUUAUCCGAUAAGAUUUCAGAAAUUUCACGAUUAAAUUUGAAUAACAUUGAUUCUAAUAAUUUAGACACAAUAUCUGUUCAGGAUGUGCCAAUGGAUUUUACUGAAAUCGUUUGCCAUGCUAUGUAUUAUGACAUAAAUUAUGUUCAAAACAAUAAGUUAGAAAAACCACUUCAAAACAUGUCUAUGGAAUUAACACAACCUAUCUCUUCAUGCGUAAAUAUGUUACAAAAUUCUCAACAAGAACAAAAUAUCGGAGAACUUAAUUGUGUAUCUCAAUUGGAUAAAUCCGAAGCAAUAGCUGAUCAAUGUACGUCAAUGGAAACGACUGUUGCAGUACCAUCUACUAUCAUUACUAAUACUACUGAUCGAGUAAAUUUGUCAAUAUAUUCUCCAAAUGACAAGAUUAAAAGAUUUAAUAAUAUUUCAAUGGAAAUAACUACACCAGUACCAUCUGUACUAUCUACAAUAGAGCAGUCAGCAACUAAUAAUGAAUCAGAAACCUGUGGUUCAGGAUUAAUGGCAUAUAUCAAUAAUAAAACUACCAUUUUUCAUGAUACUUCAAUGGAAAUUACUAAUGUUGUGAAAACAAAAACUAAUAAGUACUUGGAUUGUCAGCUCGACGAACGUGAUAGAUUAACAGCAACAGAAGAAACAAACUCUCAGUGUGAUAACGAAAAAACCAUAUUGUCAAAUAUAUCUAUAGAAAUGACUGCAACAGUUCCAGCUAAUAUACAUUCCAUAACUGAAAGUCAAGAAAAAAAAGAAGCAAAUUGUAACGUUACAAAUGUUUUUAUAGGUAAUAACUUUCAAAACGUAAUGUUUGAUGUAGAUGGUUGUAAACCAUCAGUUGAUCUUGAUAAAACCAAAAUAUGUGAUAAUGAAUUAAUGGAAUUUACUGAAGGUAUAACAAUUUGGCCUAAAAGCAAUUUAGCAAAUAAUGAACCGAUUCAAAAUAGUUUUCCUAAUCAAUGGAACAAUGAUGGUGAGGAUGAGAACAUAAACCUAAUAUUAAAUAAUUCGCAAAAAGUAAAGUCCGACAUAGAUUACUAUAAAGAACCAAUUAGUGCCAAUCAAACCAAGGUAUAUGAUAAUGAAGCAAUGGAAUUUACCGAAGCUAUAACAGUUUCACCUAAAACGAAUUUAAUAAAUAGCAAACUUGUACAAAAUAGUAGUCCCAGCCAAUGGAACAAUAAUAAUAAAGAUAAUGAUAUAAACUCAACAUCAAAUAAUAUUACCAUUUGUCAAAAUAAUUUAAUGACAUCUGCAAAGAUGGUAUCACCAUCUGGUAUAAAAGAUAAUUUUGAAAAAGUAACUGAUGAUUAUGAAUCAAAUAGUAAUAAUCAAGAUACAAUUAAAACAUCAUCCUGUUCAAAUAUGUCAAUGGAAAUUACAGAAGCCGUAAUGGCAUUGCAGUGUCAUCUUCCAACAGAGAAUCCUUUUAUAAAUGGUACUUAUAUUACAGAAUCAACAUUGAUUGAAAAUGUCGAAAACAAAGAUAAACAUUCUAUAAAUUCUACUGCACCAAAUGAUGAUGUUUUAAAAGAUCUGGUAGUUUCAUCUUCUUUAAACUCAGGUUCAAUUUUAAACAAAGAAACGCAUAUAACAGAUAACUUUUCACAAUGUUUUGGAAAAAUGACUGCAGAAAUACCUGUUUCAACAGAGACUGAAAAUUUUGUAAAUGUAACUAAUAUGGCUUUGCUCGAAUCGAUGCAAGCAGACGUUGAUGUUUCGACUUCAAAAAUCAUUAAUACACCUAAUGUCGAUUUGAUUGAAUCCGGGAAACAGAAUACGGAUGUAUCGUCGAAAGAAAAUAUUCGAGAAAAAACUUAUACUCUAACUCCUGUAUUAAAUGAACCUUCUAGUAUCGUAAUAUCAGAGAUAAGUCAGAAUGAACUUUCAUCGCAUAAACAGUUACAAAAUGUUAUAUCAAAUCCAAGACGAACGUAUGUUAUUCAGCCAUUAAAUACUAUUGAUCACUAUUGUAAUAAAGAUGAUAGUGAAACAACUAAUAAUAUCAAUAAUGAGAUAAAGAAUGAUAGUUUUUGUUACACAUCAAAUGAUAGCAGAAAUUGUGCACAUAGUAGUUUGAAUGGCAUAGAAAGUCUGAAAGACUUUCAAAAUAAUGAAGUAGACCAUUUAACAGAGCAAGACGUUAUAUUUUUCAGUAAUACCGUGGAAGAACUAAACACAAUUACACCACCAUCAUUUGUUUGUAUGAAUGAUUCGUUAGAUUUAAAUACGUCGGUAGAUACGUGUAAAGAAGCAAAUUCUGAUUCAGAUAAAAUUAAAAUUUCACAGACAAUCGAACUAGAAAAUAUUUCAAAAAAUAAAUAUAGUUUGGAAGAUGUUAGCGAUUUUCAUGAAAACAUUUUGAAAGCGGAUCAAGUACCCACUGUACAAAUAGAGAAAGUAAAUGAAAAUUGUUUAAACGAUGAUUUAAGAUCAAGUUUAAAAUCCCAUGAUUGUUUGGAAAAGAGCGCCAUAACUACCGAAUUCGAUCCUUUUUCUUCGCUAAUGAAUAAAUUGAGAAUUUGUGCUGAAAGCGAUAAGAUUAUUUGGGAAGUCUAUCAUGAAAAUAUUGAGAAGAACCUGUUUGUAAUUGGUUUCAUAUCUUCUUCCUUGUUAGUAAUAAUAUAUUUAAAAGAUCACUGUGAUGCUAUAAGUGAUCAGCCGAUUAAAGAAAUUAAAAUAUGUUCUCGCCUAAGAGACGACGCUGACGCCUUAAUAAGCAUGGUUCAUCGGGUAAUCUUAGAAAAGUUAGACACCCAAGUGUUGAUAGAUUUAUGCGAAAAUUCUGAAGAUAUUUUUUCAUUGUUAAAUUACAUUUCAAAAGAAGUAAAAUUAGCUAUGGACUUCAUGUUCGACGUGGAACGUAUGAGAGAUGUAACUCUGAUGGAAAUAACUGGUGACAGCAUAUCUUUUAUAGCAUUUGGGAAAAAGAAAGAUAUUAUACUGAGGGUGACGGUAGAUAUAAAACCAUUUGAUAAAAUCGAAUCAAAAGAUAUUUCUAUUUAUUGUAAAUUAGGUUCAGUGAGGGAAGAAGACGUUAAACGACUAAUAAAAAAUAUAAAACGGGACCACAAAUUUUUACGAAGAUUCAUAAACGACGUGAACGAUUAUAUAUACUUGAUGGAAGAGUCUGUUAACAUAAUUAAAAGAUGAUGUUAAAGUAUCAUAGUGACUGGUAUAAAAAUAUCGUUGUCAACGUACUUCGCUAACACGUAACACCGAACGUAAUAAUCGUGGGUGGUACACGAAUGUCUCUUUCUUAUUUGAACAUCAGCACUGUAAAGCUGCACAAAUGUUAAGUUACGAGUAAAGGUCGAUCAACUAGUUCUCCGAUACAGCCGGUUCAGUCGAUACAGCUUUUUGUGCAAACAUUUGUAGUUGUGAUAGCAUCGCGUGAACAGUCGGCUUUCUCAGAAUCGUAUGACUUUCCGUCUUAUUUUCCAGCGUGUUCAUCGUCGGUAAUUGCAGUAACGAUAUUGUUAUUUGUAAGAUUCUAUUAGUUGAUCGUAUAAUUAAAAUCGUACGCACAGUUUGGAUCGAUUAAAUUUGAAUGAAAUUUGAAUUGCAUGUUGUCACGGUCUAUAGUCUAUAAGAAUCACGAGAUUCGAUCGUGGUCAUUCUGGUUGAAUAAAAGUUUGUUUACGCUAUA
Molecule: unclassified non-coding RNA, 4295 nt
Filed under: Megachile rotundata (alfalfa leafcutting bee)
Lineage: Eukaryota; Metazoa; Arthropoda; Insecta; Hymenoptera; Megachilidae
Description: protein PF14_0175-like, transcript variant X2
Source: RNAcentral